CAAGGCUAAAACUCAAAGAAAUUGACGGGGGCCCGCACAAGCGGCGGAGCAUGCGGAUUAAUUCGAUGCAACGCGAAGAACCUUACCUGGGCUUGACAUGUUCCCGACGACAUCAGAGAUGGUGUUUCCCUUCGGGGCGGGUUCACAGGUGGUGCAUGGUCGUCGUCAGCUCGUGUCGUGAGAUGUUGGGUUAAGUCCCGCAACGAGCGCAACCCUCGCCCCGUGUUGCCA
Molecule: ribosomal RNA, 231 nt
Filed under: Bifidobacterium jacchi
Lineage: Bacteria; Bacillati; Actinomycetota; Actinomycetes; Bifidobacteriales; Bifidobacteriaceae
Description: Bacterial small subunit ribosomal RNA
Rfam family: Bacterial small subunit ribosomal RNA
Source: Rfam by way of RNAcentral